Molecule: ribosomal RNA, 468 nt
Filed under: uncultured bacterium
Lineage: Bacteria
Description: partial 16S ribosomal RNA
Rfam family: Bacterial small subunit ribosomal RNA
Source: RNAcentral
GACGAACGCUGGCGGCGUGCUUAACACAUGCAAGUCGAACGGAAAGGCCCUGCUUUUGUGGGGUGCUCGAGUGGCGAACGGGUGAGUAACACGUGAGUAACCUGCCCUUGACUUUGGGAUAACUUCAGGAAACUGGGGCUAAUAUCGGAUAGGAGCUCCUGCUGCAUGGUGGGGGUUGGAAAGAUUCGGCGGUUGGGGAUGGACUCGCGGCUUAUCAGCUUGUUGGUGGGGUAGUGGCUUACCAAGGCUUUGACGGGUAGCCGGCCUGGGAGGGUGAACGGCCACAUUGGGACUGAGGGAGGGCGCAGACGGCUACGGGAGGCAGCAGUGGGGAAUAUUACGCAGUGGGGGGGAGCCUGAUGCAGCGACGCCGGGUGCGGAAUGACGGGCUUCGGGUUGUGAACCGCUUUCGCAUGUAACGAAGCGGGAGUGACGGUAAUGGGUAAGGAAGCACCGGCUAACUACGUG